Molecule: RNA transcript, 1842 nt
Organism: Rosa rugosa (rugosa rose)
Lineage: Eukaryota; Viridiplantae; Streptophyta; Magnoliopsida; Rosales; Rosaceae
Exons: 9
Source: RefSeq, a predicted model, not a curated record
CAAUCCUUCCGCUUUACUCUCUUAAUCUCUGUCUAGGGUUUCGAAUCGUGAUGGACGGCGGCUUCACCUUCACCUGCGAUGAGGAUUACUUCGGUUCCGAUCCAGAUGUUUACCGCUUUGACCCCAGCGACUCCGACGAGGUGCAAGCGUCCCGUCCGUUUCAUGUGGACAUCAAUCCAGAAGUUAUCUGCAAUGAUGAUGCUGCUUGGGAAAAAGAGGUGGUACCAGCUUUUGCUGAACUUGGCUUUAUAUGCAUAUGGACCAGCGAUAAUAAGAUGGGAUUUUCGAUCGAUCCAAAACUAGGGCCGCUUGAGGACACGAGUGUCUACUUCAGGGCUGUGAAUGCUUUAAAUGCUUUUGCAUGUGGUUUUCCUGCACAUUGGGCACUGAAACCACUGUCGGGCGAUAUGGAGUUCGAUUCCUUCGAGCUGACACCCGCGCACGGGAGUACUGAGGCACAAUUGGUUGAACGGUACAACAUUUUUAAAGGCCUAUAUCAACAUCAUCCUGAGCUUCAGGCGUUGCCCUGUGCAAUUAGGUUUUAUGAUGAACCUGAUAUUUCUCUUGUGGCAAGUAAACUAUUAAUUUAUCUACUGGUAGAUUUCUCGGUGGAAUUCAUUAAGUGCGGUGGUGAUUUUGAAAGCCUGGCCAAGGAGUUGUUGGAAGAUCAUGAAAGACUAAAGGAUCACCCAUUUCCAUAUAUGGAUGAUACGAUGGAGACUGGCAAAGCACUAAGUGAUGCACUGGGCAGAUGUAAUCUGCUGACCUGAUGAACUCCACUUUUAUAAAUCUAUGUUCAGGAUCUUUUUUACAUUUCCAGUUGAGAUUUUCACUGCUUUCUCUGUGAUGAUUUAAAUCCACGUAUUCAUCCAUUAUGUAACUCUGUUGUAGCAUUUUGGAUUGAAAACAUUUUAGUUUAUCUUUAUCCUUCUGUGGUUGGGGAAAUUUGGUGGUCUUUAUGUCUAGCUUAUAGCUCAGUUUCUCUCUCACAAUUAACCUGGGUUCCACUAAAUACUCUUUACUUCUAAUAUCGGGUCGUUUUGAUGCAUCUCAAUGAAGGGCCAGGAUCUUCGUGAUCAUGUGAGGCCGUCAUCUCUCUCUCGAUAUUUGUUCUCUUAUCUUCUCGCAAUUUUUGUUGACUCUCGCUUUGUGGUCUAUAUUAUCUCCACCUCCCUUUUCACAGCCUCCGUCUUUCUUGUCUCCUUUUCUUGAAUUUGGGGCUAAUUCAGGCUAACAAAAUAGUACACUAACCAUGGCUUUAGAUUCAGGUUCGCUCGAACUUUCAUAAUACCAAUCAUCUAAUUUUUGAACUAAAUUGAUACAAUAUUCACUGUAUGAAGUCUCAUUGGAUUCUAUGCAUCAAUUUUACUCUACGAUUUCUUGCCAACUGAUAUAUUUGUGUUUUUCAAUUGUGGGUUUCACUGAAAGCUACAAGGCCAAAAACUCCAAAAGAAUUGUAUUUGACUGGAGUCAUAAGCUCUGUGGGCACUGUAUGGCAAGUCAUUGGUGCCAUACAAAGCUUCAGAUAUGCUAAUAUGUCCCAUUAUGAUGUAGUCUGCCUCAAAGAAUUUAGAAGCAUGCUGGUUGUGCUGAUUAUUGUUACCUGUCUCGUUUUGGUCUAUGAUCAGAAUCUACAGUUGGAGUGUUGAUUCAGCUCAACCUUCUGACAUGAGCAAAUGGAGCAAAUGGAUCAUAUUUGUGGAGAUGCCCACGUUGUGUUUCUUCUGUUAGUGAAGGAAUUGAAAGCUAUAAUGAGGUUCUCAUGAAAUCCUUUACAGUUCAUAUUGUAAUUUCAUAAUUGGAGUUGAAUAAGAUGCUGAUUAAUGAGAAGCUUCUUUUCCA